Molecule: ribosomal RNA, 423 nt
Filed under: Adenomera andreae group sp. ABGD cluster 3
Lineage: Eukaryota; Metazoa; Chordata; Amphibia; Anura; Leptodactylidae
Description: partial large subunit ribosomal RNA
Rfam family: Bacterial large subunit ribosomal RNA
Source: RNAcentral
UUUGCUUAAAAUAAAAGGUCCAGCCUGCCCAGUGACACUGUUCAACGGCCGCGGUAUCCUAACCGUGCGAAGGUAGCGUAAUCACUUGUUCUUUAAAUGAGGACUAGUAUGAAAGGCACCACGAGAGUCAUACUGUCUCCUCUCUCCAAUCAGUUAAACUAAUCUCCCCGUGAAGAAGCGAGGAUAACUAUAUAAGACGAGAAGACCCUAUGGAGCUUUAAACGAAUAACACUUGCCCACUUACUCCUUUAAAUUUCAGAAAAAUCUAUUACCUUGGCAUCAUGCUUAUAAGUUUUUGAUUGGGGUGAUCACGGAACAAAAAAUAACCUCCGCAAUGAAAGACUCUCCAUAACUAAGUCAAGAACCACAACUCUACACAUCAACAAAUUGACACCAAUUGACCCAAUUUUUUGAUCAAUGAAC